RNAcentral lists this long non-coding RNA (7812 nucleotides) under Brassica napus (rape). RNAcentral describes it as "long non-coding RNA (BNAP_LNC004717)". Lineage: Eukaryota; Viridiplantae; Streptophyta; Magnoliopsida; Brassicales; Brassicaceae. The record is from RNAcentral.
GUAAAUUGAUAGACAUCACGGGAGCAAUAGGUACAUGCUAUCUUGGAGUUCCCCGGAACGUUCAGGUUUGUGAAGCUGCAACGCGAUCUCGUUGGAACGUAAGGGGUCACAGGAGUCGUCAUUUUCAUGACCUACACUUGCGUAUUCAAAAAAAGCCAGUGCCUGAUGCAAAUGGAGGUAACAAUGUUGUGCUUUGGAAGCAUUCUGACGAUUCUUAUAAACCAUAUUUCCCUUCUACUUGCACUUGGGAUCAGACUAGAGAGAGAAGAGCUACAGUUUUUGGUGCAGAGGUGUAUGGUUUGCUCAAGCAGUGCCGCGAUUCUCCUUUAUUUUUCGGCUGGCUGCUAGAAAAAGAUUGUCAACAGGGGAUAGAAUGAGAGCGUGGGGUAUUCAACAGGCAUGUGUUCUUUGUGGAGAGCCUGAUGAGACUCGUGAUCAUAUCUUUUUUUGCCUGCCCGUAUUCGUUACUAUCUGGGAUAGUUUAGUAAACAGAUUGAGUGGAAACAUGACUGACCCUGAUUGGUUAAUCACUCUGCAGUUUUUGACUACAAAUAAUCUGCAGGCUCUUGACAAGAUCUUACUCAAAAUGGCGUUUCAGACAUCCAUCUAUCACAUCUGGAAAGAAAGGAAUGAGCAGAGUCGAUGAAAGUGGGUGGCAGAGUCGAUUCAUCAAGUAGCAUAUAAUACUUCCAAGGCAAAGUGGGUGGCAGAGUCGAUGAAAGAUGAGGAGCCUUUGCGUCUAAACACAUUUUUCUUAGCACACAAGCAGCAUCUCGUAAUACUUUAAUAGUAUGAAAGGAGAGAUUUGUGAAUAAUACUUUAAAGAAUGAAAAGAGAAUGUUUGUAUUUUAAGACCUUAGGUGUCUCAUAUAUAUAUAUAUAUACUUUGGGGAUUUGACUGAAGAUCUCUAGAGCAGGGGUAUAUGAUAAACAAGAACUCUUUUUGUUGAUAGAACGAGUCAAAAUAUGUUAAUAUCUUUAGCAGUGGUUAGGUUUCUAAUGUUGGUAGAUGUUGUCUUACCUUUGAAUGACAAGUAAUGAAUCAUGGGAAUGAGUCUAUCUAUCUCUAUUUAACUAACUAAUUAAAAAAUUAAGAGCAUCUUUGUCCUUAGUUUCUCAAACAAAAGUGUUUAAUGAAAUAUCUUGAAUUAAUGUAUUAUUUUAACAUUUGUUUAGAUUUAAAAAAUAAUAAUUUUGGAGAAAUACACUCUUUUUUUUUGUCAACGGAGAAAUACACUCUAAAUUUUUAAAAGCAUCCGAUAUUUAAAAAUAAGUUGGAAUAUUGGUCACAGAAAAUUCACCUUUGUCAAAAGAAAAACUAUUUUAACAGUGGUAAUAAUUCAACUUUUUUUCCGUGGUAAAAUAGAUAGGAAGCAACGCGGAAAGUCACCACUCUUUACUCAGCUAGCUGUCAAAAAGCAUCCGCAGGAAAGGAAUCGUCACCUAUCAGUCAUCACACCAAUAUUAGUAAUUUUUUAUUUAAAUCGUUUAUUCAUUUAUAAAAUUUUAACUUUUAAGCUCACGUUUGCCGCUUCAAGGAAUACACAGGUGACGAGUGACGACAGACAUAGAGAGAGACGAGAAAGAGCUCCGCGUUUCCUAAAAUGGACGUUUCGCCGGAAGCCGGUAGCUACGACGAGGUUUUCUCAGCAGAAGAUGAAGACCAGUGCCGGAUUUGUCGAUCGCCGGAGGAACCAGGAAACCCCUUAAGGUACCCGUGCCUGUGCCGAGGUUCGAUCAAGUUCGUCCACCAGGAUUGCCUUCGUACCUGGCUCAUUCGCCGCGGAAACAACAAAUGCGAGGUGAUUUAUCUUUCUUUCUCAUACCUCAAGAGUUUGGGGGAUUUUUGAUUUUUUAGGGUUUUUCCUGUUGCAGGUGUGUGGGCGUAGCUACUCGUUUGUUCCGAUUUACUCCGAGAACGCUCCGGAGAGGCUUUCUUGCGACGAGUUUCUUCUCGGAGUCUUAUCGAGAGCAGGACGUUACUUGAAGAUGAUUGUUCCUUGGAUUGUGUUGAUUCUCUUGAACUGCUACUUCGUUUCUUUACACCCUUGGGGCCAAGUAGCUGCUGCUGAGUUCCAGAAUGAUUUUGGGAUGUCUAGGAAGUUCGCGUGUUUCUCCACUGGCUUGUUAUACAUUGUUUUUAGCGUGUGUCUCAUGACGGUUAUAGCUCUUGUAAAGUUGGAGGUGGGAGAUGUCAAUGUCAGGAGGUUUAUUGGGAAUGGCGGAGGUUUGCAGUUCUUGUUGAAGUAUAUGAAGAUACUUUUUGAUUGGUAUUGUCAUAAACUCAUACACUUCUUGGGGGAACCUCCUCGGCUUAUCUUUCUUCCUCCAGAGGCGCCGCUUCAUGAGUUUGGGGUUAUCAGACGGGUGCUUUUCUUUCUGGAUGAUGAUUCCUUUGCUGUAAGUUUCAUCUAAUUUUCUUUCUUGAUGCACCACAAUGAAGAUUGUUCAGUAACAAAGCUGUGUUUGUUCUGUAGAUUCUUGCCAUCAGUGUGUAUGUGGCUAUCCUCGUUGUUCUUCUGCCUGUUUGGAUUGGAAGGAUUGGAGGCAGCUAUUUGUCUGUAAACUCGCCUGUUGUUCUUGGAUACAUCAUAAUGUUGUCGGUUUGGUUUGCUUACGUUGGAUUCCUCUUCGCUCUCCAUCAGAACUUGUUUCCAGUUAUAGUUCGGUGGCUUUCUCUGGGGGUUCACUUCGUAGCAGUGAAGUUGCCAUGUCUCUUGUGGGUUUUCUCAGUAAAAUCCUGCAAACGCCUGCAAAGUCUUGUAGGCUUUGGAAUCCGUCAGGCCUCACUUCCAGCCAUAUUCCAUUGGCUUUCACUAGGAUUUCACUUCAUAACAGUGAGAUUGCCAAGUUUCUUGUGGGUUUCCUCAGAAAUGGUCUGCAAAAGCUUUCAAAGUCUUGUGCGCUUAAGAACCAUCUCCAUUGACCGUCAAGCCACACUUCCAGCCAUAUUCCAGUGGUUUUCUAUAGGAUUUCACUUCAUAACAGUGACAUUGCCACGUUUCUUGUGGGUUUCCUCAGCAGUGGCCUGCGUAAUCCUAUCUGUCCUUAAGGAAGCUUUUGUCUUGUGCUUCAAAAUUGGUGUGAUUCAUCAGCAACAAAAAAAGCCAGAGACUUUGUGUUAGAUUAAAGAAUCUCUGAUGUUAUUAUAUACCAGGUGAAGUUUGAGCUCUCCUCAUAAGAGUUACAGGAACCCAUGAUGUGCAAUGACUUAAUCUGCCAUCUGUUGGCAGAAUUCUGGAGAUAGAGGCCAUGGAGAGGGUUUAAGGAUCACAGAGAAAGAGAAGAAAAUGAAAUAAAGAAGAUGACUCCAAAGAAGCAGGAGGAAAAUGUUUUUUUUUUUUGGAGCCUUGUGUGAUUUGGUGGAAGAUGACAAGAGCCACACAUUUUUUUAAAACUCAAUCUGCACAAAAUAUCUCAAGAAAAAUAUUUAAAUCUUUUUACCAUAUUUGAUUAACGAAGAGUGUGCUUGUCACAUCGGAAUAGUCUGCCUUCCCGCCGGACUUUAUGCCGUUUUGGAGAUGUCACGUGAGUGCCAUUCUUGCUUAUCAUAAUAUUGGGCUUGAGUUUUGUUUCUGCGGCCCACUACUAAGUCUGGACAUUAGUAACUGAAACCCAUGUCCAAAACAAACUUUAAUUAAAAUAUUUUGGAUUUUCAUAUUAUCCAAAUCUUGUCCGUAUUAAAUUAGCAUUUGAAAUGAGACUAUUCACAAUACUAAAUAAAUAUUUCAAAUAUUUAACUUUAUGUCUAUCUAUCAUGGUCCGGUUGUAAAAUAUUUAAAUUCAAAAUAUUAUUAACUGAACCCAAAAUGAAUUUUAAUUUGAAAUGAAAUUUUUUAGAAAAUUAUAAAAAAAAAAAAUUAUAAUCAAAAAUAUGAUUAACCAAACCUAACUCGAACAUAUAUCAAUCCAAUCCAAAUAUAACCCGAACGUCCAUGUGAACUACACUUUGGCGUGGCAGCCCUGAUUUGUAUUUGGCUCUACCUACAUUUUUUUAGUUUCAGUUCCUUUUUCAAAUAUAUACAACAUAUAUCAGAAGAAAAUUCAACAACCAAGAGUAGUUUGAUUAUUUUUAUAACAUUUGUUCAAACUGGAGAGUGAAAAUGAAGUUUUUGUUACAAGUCACACAAAUCACAAGCCAAUAAUAUUAAAAAAAAAAAACAAAGAUCAGAUGUUGGAACCAAGCAAAGUGAGGAGGAAGUCCUUGUAGUCACCGGAAACAUCACCAAUAAUAGCGUUAUCCAUGCUUGUAUUGUACAUGUUAUAGUACUCUCCUCUUGCUUUCAUCAGAUCAAUCUCUGCACGCGUCACAAUCCCUCUCGUCAACGAAUCUUCAUCUGUUCCAAACCCUUCAAUGGAGUCUCUUACAACCUGUAAAUUAAACAUAAACAAAAAACACAAAAGUCAAAGGAAAGAAGAUAAAACACCUUUGUUGUCUACUUGAGUAACAUCUGCUCAAAUGUUUUUGAAGUACCUUUGCAAAGUGUUUCUCAGGGAACUCAAUGCACAAGAUCACCAUCUGUAAUAGACUUUUCAGAUCAGCAUCUCCCGGACAUCCAUCAACAUCCUGUCCAUAUAACAACACAACAUCAAGCAUCAAGUAAAGAAUUAAAUAUAACAUCUUUAAAAACAAUAACCAAGAGAUUCGGGGCCGAAACCCGUAAUCCUCCCAGUGCCGUAACCACAACAUGUAAUAUUAGUUUUGUUCCGGAAGUUCGAAAGCAGUCGAACUUCCGACACAAAUGCUAGGGUCAUUUUCAUUCGAGAUAACGAAUACACAUAACAUAAAUGAAAGCCAAACUCACCUUAUCUAACGUGUUCCCAUAACUCUGCUUGUAAGCAACAAAGGUUUCUCUGAGCUGGUAGAUACUGCGAGUUCCUAAUAUGUAUAGGACAUGAUCAUGAUCUAGUUGCUUCGCUGUGAUCGCUUCACGCAGCAUACCGGCCUCAAUAGUAGCUACUUCUGUAUCAGCCAUAUCUUUGUCAUAUCUAAAAGAAGUUGCCAAAGUCACCAGUACCUGUGUGCAGUUUAUACAAUAAAAGACCAUAUCAAGACUUUAGCUUCUCAUGACAACAAUCAAAACUCAAAAGAAGGUAUACCUUUGCAAGAGGGAAAGGGACAGAGGAAGCAAUGUGUUCUUCAAGAGAUAAGUCGAAGAGAGAACAGUAAGCUUUCCUCACAGCAAUCAAAUGGUUAGGAGAAGUUGUGCAAGAGAUCUCUACGAUGAUCUUAAGUUUCUCUAUGCUUUUCUUCUUCCCAUUCAAGACGUUGUUAGCUAGCCUUGCGUCUCUCUCUGCGAGGGGGGGGGGCAAUAAAUAUUUUUCAACUGGGGCAAUCAAUUUUUUCCUAAACAUUUAAAUGAUGUAGCUCCGCCCCUGUGGAUAACUAUCUUGCCAAGUCUUGUCCUGGUAAAUUGCUAAAAUCUUUUUACUAAUAUAUAAAACAAAAUAAUAUUAUUCUAAUAUUAUUCUCAUCCGAAGUGGAAGAUUUGGUGUAGUUUAGGAAAAUAUGCCUAUUUCAACCAGAACUUUAUUCGUCGUGCAUAUUUCUUAUUGAACUGAAUAAAAAUACAAAAACACUACAUGAACUUUAAGCAUUGUAACUUUUCAUUCCGAACUUUAUAGUACUGCAUAUUCUAUAUUAAACUAAAAAAUAUUCAAAAUACUACAUGAACUCUCAAAAUCGCGCUUAUAUAUGUACUGACCAUAAAAUUUUAAAACAAAGUUAAAUUUUCAAAAAAAAAUAUUUAUUUAAUUAUUACUUUAUUAAUAUUCUUAUAAAUUGAAAUAUCUUUUGGAAAACUUAAUUUUAUUUUUAAAUGUAUCUUUAUAUACAUAAACAACACAAAACUUUAAUUUUACCAUCAAUUUUAAGUAUGCUAUAAAGUAAAUAUUUAAAUUAAUAAUAAUUAAUUUGAAUGUAUUAAAUGAUGAUUUUAACAUUUAAAUUAAUAAAUAAAUAAAUAUAUAUAUAUAUAUAUUUAAAAUUAAAAAAAAAAAUUUUGAUUACAUUUAUUUCAUUAAGCCAAAAUUUAUAUCUAAGUCAAUGUUUGCAAAUUUGAACAAGAAAAUUACUUUAGUCGAGCAAUUAAUAUGCUAUUAUUUGUCUAGAAGUGUGAGAGAUCUAAUCUCUUAAAAAUUAGUUUUUAUUAGUUUAAAUUUAUCUAAAAUGACGUUAUUUUGAUAACUUUGCGAAUGACUAAUACCUUUGACAACUUUUAAUAUAUAAAAAAUGAUGUAUAAAAACUAAUAUAUUUGAGGUUCAAUAUUUAUAAGGACGAUUUUGAGAGUUAAUGCAAUAUUUUUAUUUUCUUUAUUUAGCAUAGUUAACCAUUAAUCAAAUAUAUUUGACGUUCAAUGGUUUUAUUAAUCAAAUAUAUAUAGUUCUUAUAAAUAUUGUUAUUUUUAUUUUCUAACAUGUCUUUGUUAUCUUUGUUAAUGCAAUAUUUUUAUUUUCUUUAUUUAGCAUAAAUUAUCAAAAACCAUAAUAACCAUCAAAAAGUUAUUAGUACUUUAAUGUUAUUUUUCAUAUUUCAUGUAUCUCAAAAAAAAAUAAAAAAAUAAAAUCAUAAUAAGUAAUUUUCAUAGAAAACUAAAGUAUAUAAAAUAUAUACUAAUAAAAUAGUUUAUUUGAGACUUGAGAAAGUGUCCACAUAAGCAUAAAAUAUUUCUUCCAAAAGAAGUAACAUGACAUUAUUACUAAAAAACAAAAAGUAAAUAAUAAGUAAAUGUACAAUAUAGGAAAAAUAAAUAAUAAGUAAAUAUACAUUAUAUGAAAUAGAAAUAUUACAUUAAACAUCUAUCAUAAUAUUAUUAUCCAGACUGAGAUUAAAGAUGGCCGCACUGCAUUCUUCUGGUUUGACGAUUGGUUACAAAUGGGUAAAUUGAUAGACAUCACGGGAGCAAUAGGUACAUGCUAUCUUGGAGUUCCCCGGAACGUUCAGGUUUGUGAAGCUGCAACGCGAUCUCGUUGGAACGUAAGGGGUCACAGGAGUCGUCAUUUUCAUGACCUACACUUGCGUAUUCAAAAAAAGCCAGUGCCUGAUGCAAAUGGAGGUAACAAUGUUGUGCUUUGGAAGCAUUCUGACGAUUCUUAUAAACCAUAUUUCCCUUCUACUUGCACUUGGGAUCAGACUAGAGAGAGAAGAGCUACAGUUUUUGGUGCAGAGGUGUAUGGUUUGCUCAAGCAGUGCCGCGAUUCUCCUUUAUUUUUCGGCUGGCUGCUAGAAAAAGAUUGUCAACAGGGGAUAGAAUGAGAGCGUGGGGUAUUCAACAGGCAUGUGUUCUUUGUGGAGAGCCUGAUGAGACUCGUGAUCAUAUCUUUUUUUGCCUGCCCGUAUUCGUUACUAUCUGGGAUAGUUUAGUAAACAGAUUGAGUGGAAACAUGACUGACCCUGAUUGGUUAAUCACUCUGCAGUUUUUGACUACAAAUAAUCUGCAGGCUCUUGACAAGAUCUUACUCAAAAUGGCGUUUCAGACAUCCAUCUAUCACAUCUGGAAAGAAAGGAAUGAGCAGAGUCGAUGAAAGUGGGUGGCAGAGUCGAUUCAUCAAGUAGCAUAUAAUACUUCCAAGGCAAAGUGGGUGGCAGAGUCGAUGAAAGAUGAGGAGCCUUUGCGUCUAAACACAUUUUUCUUAGCACACAAGCAGCAUCUCGUAAUACUUUAAUAGUAUGAAAGGAGAGAUUUGUGAAUAAUACUUUAAAGAAUGAAAAGAGAAUGUUUGUAUUUUAAGACCUUAGGUGUCUCAUAUAUAUAUAUAUAUACUUUGGGGAUUUGACUGAAGAUCUCUAGAGCAGGGGUAUAUGAUAAACA